ACCCUUCUUCUCACCCACCACCAGUAGACUGAUCGCCGCCUCCUGAUUCCCGAAGCUCUCAACCUCACCGCUACGCCGGCCGCUGGCGUCGUCGCGCUCUUCUCGCCCCGGCCCGCGCGACCAGACAAGCACAGCGGCCAGCGGCCGCCACCGCCAGCCAAGCCAAGCCAAAGCAGGCAUGGGCUCCCUCUUCAUCAGGUUCCAAGAGGCUGUCAAAACACUGGCUAAGAAUCCGAUGUUUGCUAACAAUCGAUUGUUUGCUCGAGAUCCAAGGCAUCUCCAAUUCGAAGCUGACGUAAAUCGCCUGUUUCUCUACACCAGCUAUUACCGUUUGGGGGCUAAUGCUGAAGAGAAGGACGCAGAGGAGAUUAUUGACAUGGCUAGCAAAGCUUCUGUUUCUGAGCAGCAGAAGCAAGUACAGGAGAAUGUUCACUAUCAACUUACAAAUAUGUGUCAAGCAAUGGAUAGCAUUCUUCUUCCUGAUACAAAAAAUGGUGCUUCAGAAGCUAAUAAUUAUCCUCGGCGUAGUGGGUUGAGUUUCGCUGUUGGCACAGGAGUUGCAUCUGCAAACAAGCCAGAUGUCCCUUCUACUAGGCCUUUAAAUCGCGCUGAAUUGUCAAAUAAAUUUAGGGAUCACUUUCAAUACACCCUUGACAUCAGGCCGUCACAAAUCCCUCACAAAGAUGCAGGGCAAGGUCUGUUCUUAUCUGGAGAAACUAAUGCUGGUGCUGUCCUAGCCAUCUACCCUGGAGUUGUAUAUUCACCUGCUUAUUAUCGAUAUAUCCCUGGAUACCCAAAAAUCGACGCGUGCAACAACUAUCUGAUCACAAGGUAUGAUGGAACAAUAAUUGAUGCCAAACCAUGGCAAUUAGGUGGUGAUAGCAGAGAAAUAUGGGAUGGCUCAGAUUUGGUGGAUUACAAUGCAGUGCCAUCCAAAAGCCAAGAGAGCAACUCUGAUAGGGCAUGGAGGAUGCUCAGCAAGCCUCUGAAGAAGGGUCACACUGAAAAUUUUGGGGAAGUGCUUGAACGACGAAACCCACUCGCUUUUGGUCACUUUGCAAACCAUCCACCAAAAGGGUCAACUCCCAAUGUCAUGAUCUGCCCAUAUGAUUUUCCAUUGACAGAGAAGGACAUGAGAGUCUACAUCCCUAACAUUACUUUUGGUGGUGAAGAAGAGCCCGUUACAAUGAAACGAUUUGGUUCAUUCUGGUUCAAGUCUGGACGUUCUGGUAAUCAGGAAGGGGAGUCUCCAGUUCUGAAGACUCUAGUGCUGGUGAGUACAAGGUCCAUAUGUGAUGAAGAGCUCUUCCUGAACUACCGGUACAGCAACUCGAAGAAGCGACCAGAGUGGUAUAUCCCAGUUGAUGAAGAAGAGGAUAAGAGACGAUGGAGCUAGUUUUGCACAUCUUAGCUGUGAGCCUGUAACAAUUCUUCCUGCAUUGCUUUCUAACAAUUAUUUUUGUCCCGGUGUCGAUCGGCAAAUUGCAACUGGGAGUGAUUUAGCUUCUGAAGUGAGAUGGCAAUUUUAUUAUGCUCAUCUGGAGUCCUUGAUCUUAAUUACCAUUUUGAUGGACGUGUUUCUGCUCAUCUCCUUGGAAUAUGCUUGCCUGGUGACUGGUGCUAUCUCAAUCGAUUCUGAAAGAACACACUGUUCUUUGCUAAGAUGAUAAGAAAUGUACUUUGGUCAAAUGGUUACUCCGGGAAGCCUUAAGAUUUUGAUUUUGCUCGGAGGAAGACUAUCCACCAAGUUAGCUGGCCAAUGUAUUUUAUGAUCUCCAGGAUUAAAUCUUGUGUUGUUCCCCGGUAUUUUGGGGUUGCAAUUGUGCCUUCGCUUUCACAUCGAGCAUCACUUGUUCAGAUUGGUGGCAACAUGCUGAAUAGUGAAUAUUCAUUUUCUGUUGGAGCUGAAUAUUCAAUUGAUGAAGAGCAUCAAAUCAAGUUUAUCAUUACAGGAAGUAUCUAUCCUCCUGCGAGUUAAUUAAGUUGCCAACUCAUUUGGGAAUGGAACAAAAAACCAAAUUAUUGAGAGAACAAGCAAGCUUGCUGUCAGUUUGUCGCAACGUGUUGACAUAAAAUAGGUUAGCAACAGCACAACGAGACACAUUAUUGUACUAAAGCUAGUGUUUGGGGAUUAGUUUCGGUCGGAGUUUGUCUCCACCUGAUCAAAGCUUGAUAUUGCAAUAUACUGACAACAACUAAUGAGAUUUCUUGAGGGGAUGACGAUCA
Oryza sativa Japonica Group (Japanese rice) is the source of this 2226-nucleotide RNA transcript. RefSeq lists it as uncharacterized. Lineage: Eukaryota; Viridiplantae; Streptophyta; Magnoliopsida; Poales; Poaceae. The record is from RefSeq and is a predicted model, not a curated record.